RNAcentral lists this ribosomal RNA (424 nucleotides) under Verrucomicrobiota bacterium. RNAcentral's name for it is "Verrucomicrobia bacterium partial 16S ribosomal RNA". It matches the Rfam family "Bacterial small subunit ribosomal RNA", at positions 355 to 776 of the family's 1533-position model. Lineage: Bacteria; Pseudomonadati; Verrucomicrobiota. The record is from RNAcentral.
UGAGGAAUAUUGGUCAAUGGACGCAAGUCUGAACCAGCCAAGUAGCGUGCAGGAUGACGGCCCUAUGGGUUGUAAACUGCUUUUAUAUGGGAAUAAAGUGAGGGACGUGUCCCUUAUUGCAUGUACCAUACGAAUAAGGACCGGCUAAUUCCGUGCCAGCAGCCGCGGUAAUACGGAAGGUCCAGGCGUUAUCCGGAUUUAUUGGGUUUAAAGGGAGCGUAGGCUGUUUGUUAAGCGUGUUGUGAAAUGUAGGAGCUCAACUUUUAGAUUGCAGCGCGAACUGGCAGACUUGAGUGCGCACAACGUAGGCGGAAUUCAUGGUGUAGCGGUGAAAUGCUUAGAUAUCAUGACGAACUCCGAUUGCGAAGGCAGCUUACGGGAGCGCAACUGACGCUAAAGCUCGAAGGUGCGGGUAUCGAACAGG